Molecule: long non-coding RNA, 353 nt
Filed under: Hordeum vulgare
Lineage: Eukaryota; Viridiplantae; Streptophyta; Magnoliopsida; Poales; Poaceae
Description: long non-coding RNA (HVUL_LNC000989)
Source: RNAcentral
CAGAUACUUGGGGCAGUUGCGCUUCCAAUAACUAGUACCCUUGCAAUAAUAGCACUCAGUUUCCGGCUUAGGCCCAUCCUUCGGUUUGUUCGUCAUAGGGGCAAUAGUUUUGCCACUCUUCUUGGAGUUACCCUUAUUUCCUUUGCCACUCUUCUUGGAGUUACCCUUCUUUCCUUUGCCAUUCUUCUUGAAAAUAUUGGUCUUAUUGACCAUCAACACUUGAUGUUCUUUCUGGAUUUCUGACUCAGCGACUUUCAGCAUCGCAAAUACCUCGCGGGUGACUUAUUCAUCCCUUGCAUGUUAUAGUUCAACAUGAAACUCUUGUAGCUAGGUGGCAGUGAUUGAAGAAUUCU